This 446-nucleotide ribosomal RNA is filed under the name uncultured bacterium. Its description in RNAcentral is "bacterial SSU rRNA". It matches the Rfam family "Bacterial small subunit ribosomal RNA", at positions 329 to 792 of the family's 1533-position model. The record is from RNAcentral.
UUCCAGACUCCUACGGGAGGCAGCAGUGGGGGAUAUUGCACAAUGGGGGGAACCCUGAUGCAGCGACGCCGCGUGGGUGAAGAAGCGCCUCGGCGCGUAAAGCCCUGUCAGCAGGGAAGAAAAUGACGGUACCUGAAGAAGAAGCCCCGGCUAACUACGUGCCAGCAGCCGCGGUAAUACGUAGGGGGCAAGCGUUAUCCGGAUUUACUGGGUGUAAAGGGGGCGCAGACGGCGAUGCAAGCCAGGAGUGAAAGCCCGAGGCCCAACCCCGGGACUGCUCUUGGAACUGCGUGGCUGGAGUGCAGGAGGGGCAGGCGGAAUUCCUGGUGUAGCGGUGAAAUGCGUAGAUAUAAGGAAGAACACCAGUGGCGAAGGCGGAUUACUGGACGAUAACUGACGGUGAGGCGCGAAAGCGUGGGGAGCAAACAGGAUUAGAUACCCCAGUA